GAUGAACGCUAGCGGCAGGCCUAAUACAUGCAAGUCAAGGGGAUAGCAAUAAUCACCGGGCGGACGGGUGCGUAACGCGUACACAACGUGCCCAAGGGCGGAGGAAAGCGGCGGGGAAACUGGCCGGUAAUACGUCCAUGGUGUUGUUGAGUGGCAUCGACUUAACGAACUAAAGUACAAGCGCCCUUGGAUCGGUGUGCGUUCGAUUAGCUAGUUGGCGGGGUAACGGCCCACCAAGGCUUCGAUCGAUAGGGGGUGUGAGAGCAUGACCCCCCACACGGGUACUGAGACACGGACCCGACUCCUACGGGAGGCAGCAGUAAGGAAUAUUGGACGAAUGGGCGGAAGCCUGGAUCC
Molecule: ribosomal RNA, 357 nt
Filed under: uncultured bacterium
Lineage: Bacteria
Description: bacterial SSU rRNA
Rfam family: Bacterial small subunit ribosomal RNA
Source: RNAcentral